GUCUAUGGCUGUACCACCCUGAAUGCACCUGAUCUCGUCUGAUCUCAGAAGCUAAGCAGGGUCGGGCCUGGUUAGUACUUGGAUGGGACCGCCUGGGAAUACCGGGUGCUGUAGGCU
This 117-nucleotide ribosomal RNA is filed under the name Zalophus californianus (California sea lion). Lineage: Eukaryota; Metazoa; Chordata; Mammalia; Carnivora; Otariidae. The record is from RNAcentral.